Molecule: ribosomal RNA, 400 nt
Filed under: uncultured bacterium
Lineage: Bacteria
Description: bacterial SSU rRNA
Rfam family: Bacterial small subunit ribosomal RNA
Source: RNAcentral
GACGAACGCUGGCGGCGUGCUUGACACAUGCAAGUCGAACGGUAAGGCCCUUCGGGGUACACGAGUGGCGAACGGGUGAGUAACAACGUGGGUGAUCUGCCCUGCACUUCGGGAUAAGCCUGGGAAACUGGGUCUAAUACCGGAUAGGACUCCUGGCUUCAUGGUUGGGGGUGUAAAGCUUUUGCGGUGUGGGAUGGGCCCGCGGCCUAUCAGCUUGUUGGUGGGGUAAUGGCCUACCAAGGCGACGACGGGUAGCCGGCCUGAGAGGGUGACCGGCCACACUGGGACUGAGAUACGGCCCAGACUCCUACGGGAGGCAGCAGUGGGGAAUAUUGCACAAUGGGCGCAAGCCUGAUGCAGCGACGCCGCGUGAGGGAUGACGGCCUCGGGUUGUAACCGU